UGGCUCAGAGUGAACGCUGGCGGUAGGCCUAACACAUGCAAGUCGAACGGCAGCACAGGAGAGCUUGCUCUCUGGGUGGCGAGUGGCGGACGGGUGAGGAAUACAUCGGAAUCUACUUUUUCGUGGGGGAUAACGUAGGGAAACUUACGCUAAUACCGCAUACGACCUACGGGUGAAAGCAGGGGAUCUUCGGACCUUGCGCGAUUGAAUGAGCCGAUGUCGGAUUAGCUAGUUGGCGGGGUAAAGGCCCACCAAGGCGACGAUCCGUAGCUGGUCUGAGAGGAUGAUCAGCCACACUGGAACUGAGACACGGUCCAGACUCCUACGGGAGGCAGCAGUGGGGAAUAUUGGACAAUGGGCGCAAGCCUGAUCCAGCCAUACCGCGUGGGUGAAGAAGGCCUUCGGGUUGUAAAGCCCUUUUGUUGGGAAAGAAAUCCAGCUGGCUAAUAACCCGGUUGGGAUGACGGUACCCAAAAGAAUAAGCACCCGGCUAAACUUCGUGCCCAGCAGCCGCGGUAAUACGAAGGGGUGCAAGCGUUACCACGGAAAUUACUGGGGCGUAAAGCGUGCGUAGGUGGUCGUUUAAGUCCGUUGUGAAAAGCCCUGGGCUUCAACCUGGGAACUGCAGUGGAUACUGGGCGACUAGAGUGUGGUAGAGGGUAGCGGAAUUCCUGGUGUAGCAAGUGAAAUGCGUAGAGAUCAGG
Molecule: ribosomal RNA, 704 nt
Filed under: Stenotrophomonas maltophilia
Lineage: Bacteria; Pseudomonadati; Pseudomonadota; Gammaproteobacteria; Lysobacterales; Lysobacteraceae
Description: bacterial SSU rRNA
Rfam family: Bacterial small subunit ribosomal RNA
Source: RNAcentral